CAACUUUCAGCAACGGAUCUCUUGGCUCUCGCAUCGAUGAAGAACGCAGCGAAAUGCGAUAAGUAAUGUGAAUUGCAGAAUUCAGUGAAUCAUCGAAUCUUUGAACGCACCUUGCGCUCCUUGGUAUUCCGAGGAGCAUGCCUGUUUGAGUGUCAUUAAU
RNAcentral lists this ribosomal RNA (160 nucleotides) under Cortinarius californicus. RNAcentral's name for it is "5.8S ribosomal RNA". It matches the Rfam family "5.8S ribosomal RNA". Rfam says of the family: 5.8S ribosomal RNA (5.8S rRNA) is a component of the large subunit of the eukaryotic ribosome. It is transcribed by RNA polymerase I as part of the 45S precursor that also contains 18S and 28S rRNA. The record is from RNAcentral. RNAcentral also lists the same sequence under 107 other names. Lineage: Eukaryota; Fungi; Basidiomycota; Agaricomycetes; Agaricales; Cortinariaceae.